Molecule: ribosomal RNA, 466 nt
Filed under: uncultured bacterium
Lineage: Bacteria
Description: partial 16S ribosomal RNA
Rfam family: Bacterial small subunit ribosomal RNA
Source: RNAcentral
CUACGGGCCGCUGCAGUGGGGAAUAUUGGACAAUGGGGGAAACCCUGAUCCAGCAAUGCCGCGUGUGUGAAGAAGGCCUGCGGGUUGUAAAGCACUUUCGGUUGGGAGGACUGCUUCUAGCACUAAUAUUGUUGGAAGUUGACGUUACCUUCAGAAGAAGCACCGGCUAACUCCGUGCCAGCAGCCGCGGUAAUACGGAGGGGUGCAAGCGUUAAUCGGAAUUACUGGGCGUAAAGCGCGCGUAGGCGGCUAGAUCAGUCGGGUGUGAAAGCCCCGGGCUUAACCUGGGAACUGCAUCCGAUACUGUCUAGCUUGAGUACAGGAGAGGAGAGUGGAAUUCCACAUGUAGCGGUGAAAUGCGUAGAUAUGUGGAGGAACACCAAUGGCGAAGGCAGCUCUCUGGCCUGAUACUGACGCUGAGGUGCGAAAGCGUGGGGAGCAAACAGGAUUAGAUACCCGCGUAGUC